This 265-nucleotide ribosomal RNA is filed under the name uncultured bacterium. Its description in RNAcentral is "partial 16S ribosomal RNA". It matches the Rfam family "Bacterial small subunit ribosomal RNA", at positions 793 to 1055 of the family's 1533-position model. The record is from RNAcentral.
GUCCACGCCCUAAACGAUGUACACUAGUUGUUGUGAGACUUGAUCUUGCAGUAAUGCAGUUAACACAUUAAGUGUACCGCCUGGGGAGUACGGUCGCAAGAUUAAAACUCAAAGGAAUAGACGGGGACCCGCACAAGCGGUGGAGCAUGUGGUUUAAUUCGAAGCAACGCGCAGAACCUUACCAACCCUUGACAUGGGCGUCGCGGGACCGGAGACGGUCCUUUCAGUUCGGCUGGACGCCACACAGGUGCUGCAUGGCUGUCGU